CACUAAGAAGCUAAACUGGGCUCAGCGUUAGCCUUUUAAGCUAAAGAAUGGUGGCUCCCAAUCACCCUUAGUGA
Molecule: transfer RNA, 74 nt
Filed under: Scarus iseri (striped parrotfish)
Lineage: Eukaryota; Metazoa; Chordata; Actinopteri; Labriformes; Labridae
Also listed under: 10 other names
Description: tRNA-Lys
Rfam family: tRNA
About the family: Transfer RNA (tRNA) molecules are approximately 80 nucleotides in length.
Source: RNAcentral